AAUGCUGAACAUUUCUCUCCACCCGGCUCCUCCCGCAAACCCUGCCUGGACAUGUCAUCCCCAAACCUGGCACAUGGGCAGCUUUCUCUUUGGGAAGGUUUUAUGAGCAUCUCCACAGGAAUAAUAACAGAAAACCAGGACACGGGGACGGGAGAGCCGUUCCAGGAGUCCCUCCAGCUGUGUCCUUACCCACAUCUCUGGCUCACAAUGCACUGUAACAUGCAGACUCCUCUCAACAACCUUCUUCCUGUCUCCUGAUUCUCCUCUCCUUCUUUCGGGGCAAUGACUCCUGCCAUCAGGUCCCUAUUGCACUGAAACCAUGCCCGACGUGGAGACUCAGACUCCCAGAGACCCUUCACAGCUUUGCAAACCCCAUGUUGGUUCCUUGUUUUAUAGGUGGCAGACCCUCCGUGUGACCUCAGCACUGACGUGACUACCAUCCUAUCUCCUCUCCACUCUUCAGCUCUUGGCUGAUGACCAGAUUCCUCCCACUGUGACACAGGAAAGUCCAAGGUGAGUCCUAACUGUAGGCCAAAGUCCAUGUGUGCGCUGUGUCUGGUCCAGAUGAAAGGGUGCUAUUUAUCCGAGAUUGACAUUCUACUUCUUGCUUUACCUUUCUAACUGUCUCUUUGUGCCUUCGUUCCCAACCUUCCAAGGUCCAAGUAUACACGUUAAACUUCCUUCAUUUCUUCUCCUAUCUGUUUAACUAGAGGUAACUUCAGAGUAGUUAAAUUCUUCCAGUACUGAAUGUCUAGUUUCUAGUCCAUGUAACUGCAGAAGAGACAUGAUUUUAUAAUACUUAUCGAUUUAAACUUUGAUUAACUCACACAAGCCUUUGUAAUCAGACGGCUUUCUCUUCAUCUAAAUCAGCCAUCUCGUGCAGCAGGUGGAGAUCAGAUAACAGAGCAAGCAGACCACAGAAAGGGCUUGCCCAGUGCAGUCUGCUCAAUGCUGAGCUUAACAAGUCCCUGUUUUCAUCAACUGGUUAGAGAAUUUAUUCAUUCCCUACGCACUUGAUAAUAAUGUAACCUGGACAUCUGUUGUGUUUAGAUACAGUAACUACAUGAUCAUUUUCAAUGAGGCUAUCAGGCCUUUCAGGAAAAAACAAUCUCAGACUAACACGGUCUAUCUUAUAAUAUUGGCCAGCUCAGCUCAUGUCUGUUUGGCUUCACUGUGAGUAAAGAGAGAAUUCCAAAGCUACUGAUUGACCUUCUUCUGUGUUCUACUCAGGAAACAUAAGUUAAGCAGGAACACGAGAGUUGGCUAGGGGAGCUCAAAGAUCUCCAUCAAAGUAGCUGGGGCUACUUAGAAGGAAUCGGGUAACUGCUGGAGCUGGCGCUGUGCAAGCAACUUCACUAGUAGAGAUGCCACAUCAAGACAAGGAGGAGAAAUGCUGGUCUGUCCGUUGUUUACAAGGAGACAGAGCUGACCUGGCUCUUCAAACACGGGACAGGAGACACAGACACUACAAAAGUAUCGACUCACAAUAGAUACUUAUAGAGGAGUGGGAUUUCAUGACCAUCUCCACUCUCCAUGUCAGGUCUUACGCAUGUUGUCAGGUAUGUACAAGUGCCCUAACACAUCCAGAAAACAUUGUUUCCUCAUGGUCAUAUACCCCCUCUGGCAUUUGCAAUAUCUCUGCCCCCCUUUUCACAAUAAUCCCUGAGGCUUAAGAUAAGGGGAAGUAAUAUAGAUGUCUCAUUUGAGAC
RNAcentral lists this small RNA (1709 nucleotides) under Rattus norvegicus (Norway rat). Its description in RNAcentral is "uncharacterized LOC102553750". The record is from RNAcentral. Lineage: Eukaryota; Metazoa; Chordata; Mammalia; Rodentia; Muridae.